This 715-nucleotide ribosomal RNA is filed under the name Rhinella sp. 9 MP-2021. RNAcentral's name for it is "partial 12S ribosomal RNA". It matches the Rfam family "Bacterial small subunit ribosomal RNA", at positions 318 to 1351 of the family's 1533-position model. Lineage: Eukaryota; Metazoa; Chordata; Amphibia; Anura; Bufonidae. The record is from RNAcentral.
CCUGUGAAAACGCCCUUCAACCCCCUUAGGGACAGGAGCCGGUAUCAGGCACAUAUAUGCCCAAAACACCUAGCUUUGCCACACCCACAAGGGAUCUCAGCAGUGAUUAACAUUGAAUAUUAGCGCAAGCUUGACUCAGUUAAAGUAAAUAGAGCCGGCCAAUCUGGUGCCAGCCGCCGCGGUUAUACCAUGUGGCUCAAAUUGACCCCUUCCGGCGUAAAGCGUGAUUAAAGUUAUUUUUUAUAGAGUUAAAUUUAAACUAAGCUGUAACACGCUUGUUUUUAAGAAAUUCCCAAACGAAAGUUACUCUAAUCUUACCAACUUGAAUUCACGACAGCUGGGAAACAAACUGGGAUUAGAUACCCCACUAUGCCCAACCGUAAACUUUUAUUUACACCUCAAUCGCCAGGGAACUACGAGCUAAGCUUAAAACCCAAAGGACUUGACGGUACCCCAUAUCCCCCUAGAGGAGCCUGUCCUUUAAUCGAUAAUCCACGUUUAACCUCACCAUUUUUAGUAAACCAGCCUGUAUACCUCCGUCGUCAGCUUACCACGUGAGCGCUUUUAAGUGAGCUCAAUGUUUUUCACCAACACGUCAGGUCAAGGUGCAGUAAAUGAAAUGGGAAGAGAUGGGCUACACUUUCUAUUUUAGAAAAUACGAAAAACUACCUAUGAAACCUAGUUGGAAGGCGGAUUUAGCAGUAAAAAAAAAUCA